Molecule: ribosomal RNA, 401 nt
Filed under: uncultured bacterium
Lineage: Bacteria
Description: bacterial SSU rRNA
Rfam family: Bacterial small subunit ribosomal RNA
Source: RNAcentral
CGGGAAUUUUGGGCAAUGGGCGAAAGCCUGACCCAGCAACGCCGCGUGAGGGAUGAAGUAUUUCGGUAUGUAAACCUCGAAAGAAUGGGAAGAAUAAAUGACGGUACCAUUUAUAAGCUCCGGCUAACUACGUGCCAGCAGCCGCGGUAAUACGUAGGGAGCAAGCGUUGUUCGGAUUUACUGGGCGUAAAGGGCGCGUAGGCGGCGCGGUAAGUCACUUGUGAAAUCUCUGAGCUUAACUCAGAACGGCCAAGUGAUACUGCUGUGCUAGAGUGCGGAAGAGNCAACCGGAAUUCUUGGUGUAGCGGUGAAAUGCGUAGAUAUCAAGAGGAACACCCGAGGCGAAGGCGGGUUGCUGGGCCGACACUGACGCUGAUGCGCGAAAGCCAGGGGAGCAAACG